GACGAACGCUGGCGGCGUGCUUAACACAUGCAAGUCGAACGGGCCCGCCCCUGUUUUUGGGGGUGGGUUGAGUGGCGAACGGGUGAGUAUCACGUGAGUAACCUGCCCCCUGCUCCUGGAUAACUGCUUGAAAGGGCGGCUAAUACGGGGUGUGCCGGCUGGUCCGCAUGGGCCUGGUCGGGGUAGUUUCAUCUUCGGGUGUUUCGGUGGGGGAUGGGCUCGCGGGCUAUCAGCUUGUUGGUGGGGUGAUGGCCCAGCAGGGUGGUGACGGGUGGCCGGUCUGAGGGGGUGGGGGGCCGAGAGGGGACUGGGACACGGUGGAGACGCCUGCGGGAGGCAGCAGUGGGGGGAAUUGCACAAGGGGCGGAAGGCUGAUGCAGCGGAGUCGCGUGAGGGAUGGAGGGCUUCGGGUUGUGAGCCUCUUUCUCCGGUGGUGAAGGCCCUGUCCGUUGCGGCGGGGUUGACGGUAGCCGGGUAUGAAGCGCCGGCUAACUACGUG
This 499-nucleotide ribosomal RNA is filed under the name uncultured bacterium. RNAcentral's name for it is "partial 16S ribosomal RNA". It matches the Rfam family "Bacterial small subunit ribosomal RNA", at positions 28 to 507 of the family's 1533-position model. The record is from RNAcentral.